This 468-nucleotide ribosomal RNA is filed under the name uncultured bacterium. RNAcentral's name for it is "partial 16S ribosomal RNA". It matches the Rfam family "Bacterial small subunit ribosomal RNA", at positions 28 to 507 of the family's 1533-position model. The record is from RNAcentral.
GACGAACGCUGGCGGCGUGCUUAACACAUGCAAGUCGAACGGAAAGGCCCUGCUUUUGUGGGGUGCUCGAGUGGCGAACGGGUGAGUAACACGUGAGUAACCUGCCCCUGACUUUGGGAUAACUUCAGGAAAAUGGGGCUCAUACCCGAUAGGAGCUCCUGCUGCAUGGUGGGGGUUGGAAAGUUUCGGCGGUUGGGGAUGGACUCGCGGCUUAUCCGCUUGAUGGUGGGGUAGUGGCUUACCAAGGCUUUGACGGGUAGCCGGCCUGAGAGGGUGACCGGCCACAUUGGGACUGAGAUACGGCCCAGACUCCUACGGGAGGCAGCAGUGGGGAAUAUUGCACAAUGGGCGGAAGCCUGAUGCAGCAACGCCGCGUGCGGGAUGACGGCCUUCGGGUUGUAAACCGCUUUCGCCUGUGACGAAGCGUGAGUGACGGUAAUGGGUAAAGAAGCACCGGCUAACUACGUG